UAAAAUAUAUUAAUCUUAUUAUAUUGUUGUUAAUAUAAAUAAAUUUCACAGCACUCUUUUAACUGUGUGAAAUAAUUAUGAUUAGUGCGCUACCGAACCCUGAACAAAGAAACAGAAGAGAUGUAAUGGAUACAAUGAAACAUGCUUGGGACGAGAUGGUGAGGACUUUCAAUGACGCUGGGGAUGCUGUAGUUAACGUGUUCAAACCAACAGAGAAAAACGUUUUAGACAAAAUGGCGGAUGGAAUAAAGGGACUUACUAAUUA
Molecule: long non-coding RNA, 265 nt
Organism: Pieris napi
Lineage: Eukaryota; Metazoa; Arthropoda; Insecta; Lepidoptera; Pieridae
Exons: 2
Source: RefSeq, a predicted model, not a curated record